Molecule: ribosomal RNA, 384 nt
Filed under: uncultured bacterium
Lineage: Bacteria
Description: bacterial SSU rRNA
Rfam family: Bacterial small subunit ribosomal RNA
Source: RNAcentral
AUUGAACGCUGGCGGAAUGCUUUACACAUGCAAGUCGAACGGCAGCACGGGGCAACCUGGUGGCGAGUGGCGAACGGGUGAGUAAUACAUCGGAACGUGCCCAAUCGUGGGGGAUAACGUAGCGAAAGUUACGCUAAUACCGCAUACGAUCUACGGAUGAAAGCAGGGGACCGCAAGGCCUUGCGCUCUUUGAGCGGCCGAUGUCAGAUUAGCUAGUUGGUGAGGUAAAGGCUUACCAAGGCGACGAUCUGUAGCGGGUCUGAGAGGAUGAUCCGCCACACUGGAACUGAGACACGGUCCAGACUCCUACGGGAGGCAGCAGUGGGGAAUUUUGGACAAUGGGGGCAACCCUGAUCCAGCCAUGCCGCGUGAGUGAAGAAGGCC